CCUACGGGUGGCAGCAGUGAGGAAUAUUGGUCAAUGGCCGGAAGGCUGAACCAGCCAAGCCGCGUGAAGGACGAAGGUGCCAAGCAUUGUAAACUUCUUUUGUCAAGGGACAAAAUCAGGCUCGAGAGCCUGACCGAGGGUACUUGAAGAAAAAGCAUCGGCUAACUCGGUGCCAGCAGCCGCGGUAAUACGGAGGAUGCGAGCGUUAACCGGAUUUAUGGGGUUUAAAGGGUGCGUAGGGGGACUGUUAAGUCAGCGGUAAAAGCCCGGGGCUAAACCCCGGCGAGCCGUUGAAACUGGCUGUCUUGAGAGGACGAGAGGUAUGCGGAAUGCGCAGUGUAGCGGUGAAAUGCUUAGAUAUUGCGCAGAACUCCGAUUGCGAAGGCAGCAUACCGGCGGCGAUCUGACGCUGAGGCACGAAAGCGUGGGUAUCGAACAGGAUUAGAUACCCUAGUAGUC
RNAcentral lists this ribosomal RNA (459 nucleotides) under uncultured bacterium. RNAcentral's name for it is "partial 16S ribosomal RNA". It matches the Rfam family "Bacterial small subunit ribosomal RNA", at positions 338 to 795 of the family's 1533-position model. The record is from RNAcentral.